AGAAUAAAUGGACACAAAUCAGACGUCAAGAAUUAUAACAUUCAAAAACCAGUCGGAGAACACUUCAAUCUCCCGGGUCACAGAAAUGUUGUUUCUUUCGUAGCUUGCGUUCGGAGGGCCCUGGACCUCAAAUCGCCUGACGACCAAUUUUGGAUCGAGGCGAGAGGAACACAGGAUCGGACUGGAUCCAGAACCAGCAGUAGCUGGUGCCCUACAGUACCUGGAGUCCGAGUCUGCCUGUGCCAACCGGACUGGCUUCCAGCUGGGGCUUUAUCCACACCUUCUGGGUCCACCUGACAAUUAAGCGAGAAGGCCGGGAUGCAGCCCACAUUCACUGGACCUCAGUGGGUCGGAACACAAAACGAUUCUCACCCGAGUUUCACUGAGUGAGCCACGACCACCACGCUUCCACGAUCAGGACUGACCAGGUCCGUGGAUCUGAAAGCCAGACUCUAUGCUCAUCGGGCCUUUCGGCCAGGGUGAAGCGGCACACCUAAAUGGUGCCCGCUACUCUAAGCUUGGUCUUUCCAGUUGAAGAGAAGACAGCUCAGUCGCUAUCCCUUUCCUUCCCAAGGCCUAGGGACCUUUAUGUUCAAACCAAUCUGGGUAAAUAAUAAGGUAAGAAGUGGGCAAUUUAAAAGGGUUCCAAGGUGACUAAAGUGGCAGUUGGUAUUGCGAUUAAUGUGGCAACUAAUAACAGGAUUUUAAAGCUGGGUCCUGCCGCAUUGGUCACCAAAUCUAUUGUCCUCUUAAUUUGUAACAGCAGUUGAAAACUAAUAAAUCAGAGAUUGGUGUUCACACCCAGACGCAGUAUCUAUCACCUGUUAAAAAUCCUCAUUACCCACCCACCUUCCCAGGUGAGUGAAAACUGAACCCAGAUUGAAGGUGCAAAUCAAAAUGAUUUUAUUUAGGGAAACAAACACAACUGGGAACCAAGGGGAUAAACAGAGAGAGAGCAGUAAAAUAACUCAGUGGUUUUGAACCAGUUGGGCUUGAAGCCCGGCUCAGCCUCAGCUCAUGUACGACCCUUAACAAGCUAUGAGUAUCUAUAAUAAAGUCCGUUUUUAUACUUGCAGGUUGAUGUAAAUAGCUCAUGAUUGGACAGCAGACAGCUGUUCUCGACCCAGGUUAUUGCAGCAGCCGUUAGGUUCCGGACCUUCUGGUGCUGAAGGUGGUGUCUAGCAGGAGGAAUACAGAACCCGAUGGAGCAGGUGGAACAGCUCAGGACACUCCUUGAUGAUCUGCAGAUAUGUGAAUAGUUGGAAUAGCCAAGAUAGCAUCUGUUCAUCAUUUUAAAAAGCAACAACAAAAACCCUGUUAUUUUGUAAGUUAAGUUUGAAGAUGAAAACUGUUGUUGGAAUAUGUAAACAUGUUUGUGUGCAUGAUGUGGACCACCAUUUUAAUUUAACUUAGGCUACUGAAGAACCAGAAGAUGGUAACAGCUUUCAGUCACUAGAUUCCUAGGCUGAAUUAGAGCCAGCAUGCUAGAAGUAAAUGGCUCCAUAUCCCAUCACCUUAUCCUUUCAAUCUUCUAUCUACAGAAUUUUACCUACACCCCUCUAUUUUUGGGGGUGGGAAAGAGCUGUGAACUAUUUUAGGACCAAAUUUCUAAAAGGUAUAGGUCCACUUGCACAUGCUAAAUAUAAAUGUAUGCAUGUGAUGUAUUUAUAGUUAUUGCAGUUAUGCACACAACUAGGUAGAUGGAUGCCCAACUUCCUGUUCUCAAGCAGUUACUCAGUUUGCACACAUCAGUACAGUAACUGCAUAUAAAUUGUGUGCAUACCUGUAUUGCAUGAAAUCCCACCUCUUAAAAAUAUGAGCCUUAAAGCAAAAUAAACUUUAUAACAAUGGUUUACAGAUUAGAAUAGUAGAUUGGGCUCAGAUUCCUAUUGUUCAGGAACUUGGUUUCAAUAAUUUAGUUUAACUAGCGGUUCUUAAACAUAUUCCUGUUCAUAUAUAAAAUAUUCUAUGUCAGUGGUUUCAAACUUUUUCAUUUGCGGACCCCUAAAAUGCUUUCAGAUAAACUCCAAACUUUUACUAAAAACUAGUUAAAGCAUUCGUGGAAUGCAGAAAGUAAUAGACAGAUAAACUCUAAUAUUAUAUUGAAUAAGUUACAGUCCAGAAUCAGAAAAAGACUUUCCUUUCAUUCCUUUUAAAUAUACAUUUAAAAAAAUUUAAAAUAGUAAAAAAUGUACAACUGACAGAAUUUCACGUCAAAUUUGCAGAACUGACAACUUUGAUAUACAGUACACUAAAAAGACUAAGAAUGUUUAAUAAGCAUUAAUAACUCUGCCUUUUCACUCUCAACUUAAAUUAAUGUUCCAGUAUAUAUUAUUAAUAUUUCAAUAGAAGCUUUGUACAGGUACGCAUUUUUGUUGUUACAAACAGGAUAAUUAGAGCAUUGCAUGCCUAUAGUUUCAUUGCAUUACUCAGGAAUAAUAUUGUCACUAUCUAUUGUAAUUUGUAACUGAAAUACAAAGAAGAAAUGUUACCUCUUAAUGUGUUAUUAUCCUGAU
This is a long non-coding RNA of Chelonia mydas (Green sea turtle), 2516 nucleotides long. RefSeq lists it as uncharacterized. The transcript has 3 exons. The record is from RefSeq and is a predicted model, not a curated record. Lineage: Eukaryota; Metazoa; Chordata; Testudines; Cheloniidae.